UACGUAGGGGGCUAGCGUUGUCCGGAUUUAUUGGGCGUAAAGAGCGUGUAGGCGGCCAGAUAGGUCUGCUGUGAAAACUCGAGGCUCAACCUCGGGCUGUCGGCGGAAACCAUUUGGCUAGAGUCCGGAAGAGGAGAGUGGAAUUCCUGGUGUAGCGGUGAAAUGCGCAGAUAUCAGGAAGAACACCUAUGGCGAAGGCAGCUCUCUGGGACGGUACUGACGCUGAGACGCGAAAGCGUGGGGAGCGAACAGG
RNAcentral lists this ribosomal RNA (253 nucleotides) under uncultured bacterium. Its description in RNAcentral is "partial 16S ribosomal RNA". It matches the Rfam family "Bacterial small subunit ribosomal RNA", at positions 524 to 776 of the family's 1533-position model. The record is from RNAcentral.